RNAcentral lists this long non-coding RNA (199 nucleotides) under Elaeis guineensis (African oil palm). Its description in RNAcentral is "long non-coding RNA (EGUI_LNC068669)". The record is from RNAcentral. Lineage: Eukaryota; Viridiplantae; Streptophyta; Magnoliopsida; Arecales; Arecaceae.
UUCUCAACCACCCACAUGACUAGGUCAAGAACCAUGAUGGAAGAUCCUACCAUGACCAACACCCUGCCUAUGGUGACUGGCCCUGGGUCUAUGGUAUGUGCAUCACAUGUUACAACCCAUCACCUUGCGCAUCACAUGCAUAAGGCAGCAAUUCCAUGAAAAUUUCAGAUUAUCAGGUCUAGCCCAAACUUGUCACACA